This 428-nucleotide ribosomal RNA is filed under the name uncultured bacterium. Its description in RNAcentral is "bacterial SSU rRNA". It matches the Rfam family "Bacterial small subunit ribosomal RNA", at positions 56 to 527 of the family's 1533-position model. The record is from RNAcentral.
UGCAGUCGUACGAGAGUUUUGAACUCAAGUGGCGGACGGGUGAGUAACACGUAAGAAUUUGCCUUUAGGAGGGGGACAACAACUGGAAACGGUUGCUAAUACCCCAUAUGCUUUCGAGUGAAACGGUUUUUCCGCCUAAAGAGAAGCUUGCGGCUGAUUAGCUUGUUGGUAAGGUAAUGGCUUACCAAGGCGACGAUCAGUAUCUGGUUUGAGAGGACGAUCAGACACACUGGAACUGAGACACGGUCCGGACUCCUACGGGAGGCAGCAGUGGGGAAUUUUCCGCAAUGGGCGAAAGCCUGACGGAGCAAUACCGCGUGAGGGAUGAAUGCCUAUGGGUUGUAAACCUCUUUUUUCAGGGAGGAAUCAAUGACGUUACCUGAAGAAUAAGCAUCGGCUAACUCCGUGCCAGCAGCCGCGGUAAUACG